CCUACGGGAGGCAGCAGUGGGGAAUAUUGCACAAUGGGGGAAACCCUGAUGCAGCGACGCCGCGUGAAGGAAGAAGUAUUUCGGUAUGUAAACUUCUAUCAGCCGGGAAGAAAAUGACGGUACCUGACUAAGAAGCCCCGGCUAACUACGUGCCAGCAGCCGCGGUAAUACGUAGGGGGCAAGCGUUAUCCGGAUGUACUGGGUGUAAAGGGAGCGUAGGCGGUGUAGGAAGUCAGCAGUGAAAGCCCGGGGCUCAACUCCGGGACUGCUUUUGAAACUGUUGAACUAGAGUGCAGGAGAGGUAAGUGGAAUUCCUAGUGUAGCGGUGAAAUGCGUAGAGAUUAGGAGGAACACCAGUGGCGAAGGCGGCUUACUGGACUGUAAAUGACGCUGAGGCUCGAAAGCGUGGGGAGCAAACAGGAUUAGAUACCCGAGUAGUC
Molecule: ribosomal RNA, 440 nt
Filed under: uncultured bacterium
Lineage: Bacteria
Description: partial 16S ribosomal RNA
Rfam family: Bacterial small subunit ribosomal RNA
Source: RNAcentral